GGGCGAGACGGAAUAUAGAGAAAUGAAGUUUCACGCGCUAGACUUAGGAGCUAGUGUAGCAAUACGUGUGGGCUCAAGUCCCACCUCGCCCACCA
This 95-nucleotide transfer RNA is filed under the name Obscuribacter phosphatis (SeqCode). RNAcentral's name for it is "tRNA-Leu". Lineage: Bacteria; Bacillati; Candidatus Melainabacteria; Candidatus Obscuribacterales; Obscuribacteraceae (SeqCode). The record is from RNAcentral.